UUUCAAAAACCAAAAAAAA
This 19-nucleotide small RNA is filed under the name Arabidopsis thaliana (thale cress). RNAcentral's name for it is "ATSL009500". The record is from RNAcentral. Lineage: Eukaryota; Viridiplantae; Streptophyta; Magnoliopsida; Brassicales; Brassicaceae.